This 510-nucleotide ribosomal RNA is filed under the name uncultured bacterium. Its description in RNAcentral is "partial 16S ribosomal RNA". It matches the Rfam family "Bacterial small subunit ribosomal RNA", at positions 29 to 507 of the family's 1533-position model. The record is from RNAcentral.
AACGAACGCUGGCGGCGUGCUUAACACAUGCAAGUCGAACGAAGAGCGACGGAAGCUUGCUUCUAUCAAUCUUAGUGGCGAACGGGUGAGUAACGCGUAAUCAACCUGCCCUUCAGAGGGGGACAACAGUUGGAAACGACUGCUAAUACCGCAUACGAGCUAACCUCGGCAUCGAGGAUAGAUGAAAGGUGGCCUCUACAUGUAAGCUAUCACUGAAGGAGGGGAUUGCGUCUGAUUAGCUAGUUGGAGGGGUAACGGCCUACCAAGGCGAUGAUCAGUAGCCGGUCUGAGAGGAUGAACGGCCACAUUGGGACUGAGACACGGCCCAGACUCCUACGGGAGGCAGCAGUGGGGAAUCUUCCGCAAUGGACGAAAGUCUGACGGAGCAACGCCGCGUGAGUGAUGACGGCCUUCGGGUUGUAAAGCUCUGUUAAUCGGGACGAAAGGCCUUCUUGCGAAUAGUGAGAAGGAUUGACGGUACCGGAAAAGAAAGCCACGGCUAACUACGUG